RNAcentral lists this ribosomal RNA (59 nucleotides) under Gnetum cuspidatum. Its description in RNAcentral is "partial 26S ribosomal RNA". The record is from RNAcentral. Lineage: Eukaryota; Viridiplantae; Streptophyta; Gnetopsida; Gnetales; Gnetaceae.
ACCCCAACCCAGGUGAGGGUACCCAUCGAGUUUAAGCAUAUCAAUAAGCGGAGGAAAAG